Molecule: ribosomal RNA, 490 nt
Filed under: uncultured bacterium
Lineage: Bacteria
Description: partial 16S ribosomal RNA
Rfam family: Bacterial small subunit ribosomal RNA
Source: RNAcentral
AUUGAACGCUGGCGGCAGGCCUAACACAUGCAAGUCGAACGGUAACAGGAAGAAGCUUGCUUCUUUGCUGACGAGUGGCGGACGGGUGAGUAAUGUCUGGGAAACUGCCUGAUGGAGGGGGAUAACUACUGGAAACGGUAGCUAAUACCGCAUAACGUCGCAAGCCCAAAGAGGGGGACCUUCGGGCCUCUUGCCAUCGGAUGUGCCCAGAUGGGAUUGGCUAGUAGGUGGGGUAACGGCUCACCUAGGCGACGAUCCCUAGCUGGUCUGAGAGGAUGACCAGCCACACGAGAGCUGGAACACGGUCCAUGGUCCUACGGGAGGCAGCAGAGGGGAAUAUUGGACAGUGGGCGCGAGCCUGAUGCAGCCAUGCCGCGUGUAUGAAGAAGGCCUUCGGGUUGUAAAGUACUUUCAGCGGGGAGGAAGGGAGUAAGGUUAAUACCUUGGCUCAUUGACGUUACCCGCAGAAGAAGCACCGGCUAACUCCGUG